RNAcentral lists this ribosomal RNA (254 nucleotides) under uncultured bacterium. RNAcentral describes it as "partial 16S ribosomal RNA". It matches the Rfam family "Bacterial small subunit ribosomal RNA", at positions 524 to 776 of the family's 1533-position model. The record is from RNAcentral.
UACAGAGGGGGCAAGCGUUGCUCGGAAUUAUUGGGCGUAAAGAGCUCGUAGGCGGUCUGUCGCGUCGAUCGUGAAAACUUGGGGCUUAACCCUGAGCUUGCGGUCGAUACGGGCAUGACUGGAGUUCGGCAGGGGAGACUGGAAUUCCUGGUGUAGCGGUGAAAUGCGCAGAUAUCAGGAGGAACACCGGUGGCGAAGGCGGGUCUCUGGGCCGAUACUGACGCUGAGGAGCGAAAGCGUGGGGAGCGAACAGG